GCCUGUCCGAGCGUCAUUAUGACCACUCAAGCCUGGCUUGGUGUUGGGGCCCGCGGUUCCGCGGCCCUUAAAAUCAGUGGCGGCGCAUCUGGCUCUGAGCGUAGUAAUACUCCUCGCUAUAGAGUCCUGGUGGAUGCUUGCCAGCAACCCCUAAUCUCACGGUUGACCUCGGAUCAGGUAGGGAUACCCGCUGAACUUAA
This 200-nucleotide unclassified non-coding RNA is filed under the name soil metagenome. RNAcentral describes it as "partial contains internal transcribed spacer 2 and large subunit ribosomal RNA". The record is from RNAcentral.